GCGGUUUUUUGGCAGCGCUGUUGUAGUGUAUGGUGGAGGUGUUGGGUUUUGGUUUGGGUUUGUUGUUGGUUGUGCUGUGUUGCCUGGCCUUGGUCUUGGCACAGCAACGGACGACGGAACACUCGGACCAGACCCAACAGACCUCGCCAGAUAGACGUCUUUGCUUGCUUUGAUGAAACCAAAUCAAAAA
This 190-nucleotide unclassified non-coding RNA is filed under the name soil metagenome. Its description in RNAcentral is "partial internal transcribed spacer 1". The record is from RNAcentral.